UAAAUUGAAGCCCGCUGGGUUGGGUUUUUAGUUGUUAACUAAAGGUCACGGGAUCAAAGCCCGUCGAUCUAG
RNAcentral lists this transfer RNA (72 nucleotides) under Bavayia crassicollis. RNAcentral's name for it is "tRNA-Asn". The record is from RNAcentral. Lineage: Eukaryota; Metazoa; Chordata; Lepidosauria; Squamata; Diplodactylidae.